RNAcentral lists this non-coding RNA (30 nucleotides) under Cricetulus griseus (Chinese hamster). The record is from RNAcentral. Lineage: Eukaryota; Metazoa; Chordata; Mammalia; Rodentia; Cricetidae.
AAAAGAAACAUUAAGACUGAGACCUCCAAU